RNAcentral lists this ribosomal RNA (253 nucleotides) under uncultured bacterium. RNAcentral's name for it is "partial 16S ribosomal RNA". It matches the Rfam family "Bacterial small subunit ribosomal RNA", at positions 524 to 776 of the family's 1533-position model. The record is from RNAcentral.
UACGUAGGGGGCGAGCGUUGUCCGGAUUCAUUGGGCGUAAAGCGCGCGCAGGCGGCCUGGCAAGUCGGCCGUGAAAUCUCCGGGCUCAACUCGGAGGGGUCGGGCGAGACUGCGAGGCUCGAGGCGGGUAGAGGGCAGUGGAAUUCCGGGUGUAGUGGUGGAAUGCGUAGAGCUCCGGAGGAACACCAGUGGCGAAGGCGGCUGCCUGGGCCCGGCCUGACGCUGAGGCGCGAAAGCGUGGGGAGCGAUCCGG